GAUGAACGCUGGCGGCGUGCCUAAUACAUGCAAGUCGAGCGAACGGACGAGAAGCUUGCUUCUCUGAUGUUAGCGGCGGACGGGUGAGUAACACGUGGAUAACCUACCUAUAAGACUGGGAUAACUACGGGAAACCGGAGCUAAUACCGGAUAAUAUUUUGAACCGCAUGGUUCAAAAGUAAAAGACGGUCUUGCUGUCACGUAUAGAUGGAUCCGCGCUGCAUUAGCUAGUUGGUAAGGUAACGGCUUACCAAGGCAACGAUGCAUAACCGACCUGAGAGGGUGAUCGGCCACACCGGAACUGAGACGCGGUCCAGACUCCUACGGGAGGGCGCAGUAGGGAAUCUUCCGCAAUGGGCGAAAGCCUGACGGAGCAACGCCGCGUGAGUGAUGAAGGUCUUCGGAUCGUAAAACUCUGUUAUUAGGGAAGAACAUAUGUGUAAGUAACUGUGCACAUCUUGACGGUACCUAAUCAGAAAGCCACGGCUAACUACGUG
Molecule: ribosomal RNA, 497 nt
Filed under: uncultured bacterium
Lineage: Bacteria
Description: partial 16S ribosomal RNA
Rfam family: Bacterial small subunit ribosomal RNA
Source: RNAcentral